AGCGAACGCUGGCGGCAGGCUUAACACAUGCAAGUCGAGCGGGCGUAGCAAUACGUCAGCGGCAGACGGGUGAGUAACGCGUGGGAACGUACCUUUUGGUUCGGAACAACCCAGGGAAACGUUGGGCUAAUACCGGAUAAGCCCUUACGGGGAAAGGAUUUAUCGCCGAAAGAUCGGCCCGCGUCUGAUUAGCUAGUUGGUGAGGUAACGGCUCACCAAGGCGACGAUCAGUAGCUGGUCUGAGAGGAUGAUCAGCCACAUUGGGACUGAGACACGGCCCAAACUCCUACGGGAGGCAGCAGUGGGGAAUAUUGGACAAUGGGCGCAAGCCUGAUCCAGCCAUGCCGCGUGAGUGAUGAAGGCCCGUAC
Molecule: ribosomal RNA, 369 nt
Filed under: uncultured bacterium
Lineage: Bacteria
Description: bacterial SSU rRNA
Rfam family: Bacterial small subunit ribosomal RNA
Source: RNAcentral